GGAGAGGUACCCAAGUGGCUUAAGGGGCGGGCUUGCUAAGCCUGUAGUAGGGGGUAACCCCUAGCGAGAGUUCAAAUCUCUCCCUCUCCGCCA
Molecule: transfer RNA, 93 nt
Filed under: Candidatus Omnitrophota bacterium
Lineage: Bacteria; Pseudomonadati; Candidatus Omnitrophota
Description: tRNA-Ser
Rfam family: tRNA
About the family: Transfer RNA (tRNA) molecules are approximately 80 nucleotides in length. Their secondary structure includes four short double-helical elements and three loops (D, anti-codon, and T loops).
Source: RNAcentral